Oncorhynchus keta (chum salmon) is the source of this 1409-nucleotide long non-coding RNA. RefSeq lists it as uncharacterized. NCBI's taxonomy places the organism in Eukaryota, Metazoa, Chordata, Actinopteri, Salmoniformes, Salmonidae. The transcript has 3 exons. The record is from RefSeq and is a predicted model, not a curated record.
UGAAGUUGGUGUGAGUGUGGGGAGAGAUACAGAGUCUACAGUAGUCUAGUGAAGUUGGUGUGAGUGUGGGGAGAGAUACAGUAGUCUAGUGAAGUUGGUGUGAGUGUGGGGAGAGAUACAGAGUCUACAGUAGUCUAGUGAAGUUGGUGUGAGUGUGGGGAGAGAUACAGAGUCUACAGUAGUCUAGUGAAGUUGGUGUGAGUGUGGGGAGAGAUACUGAGUCUACAGUAGUCUAGUGAAGUUGGUGUGAGUGUGGGGAGAGAUACAGAGUCUACAGUAGUCUAGUGAAGUUGGUGUGAGUGUGGGGAGAGAUACUGAGUCUACAGUAGUCUAGUGAAGUUGGUGUGAGUGUGGGGAGAGAUACAGUAGUCUACUGUAGUCUAGUGAAGUUGGUGUGAGUGUGGGGAGAGAUACAGAGUCUACAGUAGUCUAGUGAAGUUGGUGUGAGUGUAGGGAGAGAUACAGAGUCUACAGUAGUCUAGUGAAGUUGGUGUGAGUGUGGGGAGAGAUACAGAGUCUACAGUAGUCUAGUGAAGUUGGUGUGAGUGUAGGGAGAGAUACAGUAGUCUACAGUAGUCUAGUGAAGUUGGUGUGAGUGUGGGGAGAGAUACAGAGUCUACAGUAGUCUAGUGAAGUUGGUGUGAGUGUAGGGAGAGAUACAGAGUCUACAGUAGUCUAGUGAAGUUGGUGUGAGUGUGGGGAGAGAUACAGUAGUCUAGUGAAGUUGGUGUGAGUGUGGGGAGAGAUACAGUAGUCUAGUGAAGUUGGUGUGAGUGUGGGGAGAGAUACAGUAUCUACAGUAGUCUAGUGAAGUUGGUGUGAGUGUGGGGAGAGAUACAGUAGUCUAGUGAAGUUGGUGUGAGUGUAGGGAGAGAUACAGAGUCUAGUGAAGUUGGUGUGAGUGUAGGGAUUGUUACAGAGUCUACAGUAGUCUAGUGAAGUUGGUGUGAAUGUGGGGAGAGAUACAGUAGUCUAGUGAAGUUGGUGUGAGUGUGGGGAGAGAUACAGAGUCUACAGUAGUCUAGUGAAGUUGGUGUGAAUGUGGGGAGAGAUACAGUAGUCUAGUGAAGUUGGUGUGAAUGUGGGGAGAGAUACAGAGUCUACAGUAGUCUAGUGAAGUUGGUGUGAGUGUAGGGAGAGAUACAGAGUCUACAGUAGUCUAGUGAAGUUGGUGUGAGUGUGGGGAGAGAUACAGAGUCUACAGUAGUCUAGUGAAGUUGGUGUGAGUGUAGGGAGAGAUACAGUAGUCUACAGUAGUCUAGUGAAGUUGGUGUGAGUGUGGGGAGAGAUACAGAAGUCUACAGUAGUCUAGUGAAGUUGGUGUGAGUGUAGGGAGAGAUACAGAGUCUACAGUAGUCUAGUGAAGUUGGUGUGAGUGUAGGGAGAGAUACAGAGUCUACAGUAGUCUA